UACGUAGGGUGCGAGCGUUGUCCGGAAUUAUUGGGCGUAAAGAGCUCGUAGGCGGUGUGUCGCGUCGGCCGUGAAAACCUGGGGCUCAACUCUGGGCGUGCGGUCGAUACGGGCAUCACUUGAGUUCGGCAGGGGAGACUGGAAUUCCUGGUGUAGCGGUGAAAUGCGCAGAUAUCAGGAGGAACACCGGUGGCGAAGGCGGGUCACUGGCCCGGUACUGACGCUGAGGUGCGAAAGCGUGGGGAGCAAACAGG
Molecule: ribosomal RNA, 254 nt
Filed under: uncultured bacterium
Lineage: Bacteria
Description: partial 16S ribosomal RNA
Rfam family: Bacterial small subunit ribosomal RNA
Source: RNAcentral